CACGUGAGCAACCUGCCCCUGGCUCUGGGAUAGCCUCCGGAAACGGGGAUUAAUACCGGACAUGACCUUCUCCUGCAUGGGGGAGGGUGGAAAGUUUUUCGGCCAGGGAGGGGCUCGCGGCCUAUCAGCUUGUUGGAGGGGUAACGGCCCACCAAGGCGACGACGGGUAGCCGGCCUGAGAGGGCGACCGGCCACACUGGGACUGAGACACGGCCCAGACUCCUACGGGAGGCAGCAGUGGGGAAUAUUGCGCAAUGGGGGAAACCCUGACGCAGCGACGCCGCGUGCGGGAUGAAGGCC
RNAcentral lists this ribosomal RNA (300 nucleotides) under uncultured Actinomycetales bacterium. RNAcentral describes it as "bacterial SSU rRNA". It matches the Rfam family "Bacterial small subunit ribosomal RNA", at positions 114 to 416 of the family's 1533-position model. Lineage: Bacteria; Bacillati; Actinomycetota; Actinomycetes; Actinomycetales. The record is from RNAcentral.